RNAcentral lists this ribosomal RNA (468 nucleotides) under uncultured bacterium. Its description in RNAcentral is "partial 16S ribosomal RNA". It matches the Rfam family "Bacterial small subunit ribosomal RNA", at positions 28 to 507 of the family's 1533-position model. The record is from RNAcentral.
GACGAACGCUGGCGGCGUGCUUAACACAUGCAAGUCGAACGGAAAGGCCCUGCUUUUGUGGGGUGCUCGAGUGGCGAACGGGUGAGUAACACGUGAGUAACCUGCCCUUGACUUUGGGAUAACUUCAGGAAACUGGGGCUAAUACCGGAUAGGAGCUCCUGCUGCAUGGUGGGGGUUGGAAAGUUUCGGCGGUUGGGGAUGGACUCGCGGCUUAUCAGCUUGUUGGUGGGGUAGUGGCUUACCACGGCUUUGACGGGUAGCCGGCCUGAGAGGGUGACCGGCCACAUUGGGACUGAGAUACGGCCCAGACUCCUACGGGCGGCAGCAGUGGGGAAUCUUGCACAAUGGGCGGAAGCCUGAUGCAGCAACGCCGCGUGCGGGAUGACGGCCUUCGGGUUGUAAACCGCUUUCGCCUGUGACGAAGCGUGAGUGACGGUAAUGGGUAAAGAAGCACCGGCUAACUACGUG